GAUGAACGCUGGCGGCGUGCCUAAUACAUGCAAGUCGAGCGAACGGACGAGAAGCUUGCUUUUCUGAUGUUAGCGGCGGACGGGUGAGUAACACGUGGAUAACCUACCUAUAAGACUGGGAUAACUUCGGGAAACCGGAGCUAAUACCGGAUAAUAUUUUGAACCGCAUGGUUCAAAAGUGAAAGACGGUUUUGCUGUCACUUAUAGAUGGAUCCGCGCUGCAUUAGCUAGUUGGUAAGGUAACGGCUUACCAAGGCAACGAUGCAUAGCCGACCUGAGAGGGUGAUCGGCCACACUGGAACUGAGACACGGUCCAGACUCCUACGGGGGGCAGCAGUAGGGAAACUUCCGCAAAGGGCGAAAGCCUGACGGAGCAACGCCGCGUGAGUGAUGAAGGUCUUCGGAUCGUAAAACUCUGUUAUUAGGGAAGAACAUAUGUGUAAGUAACUGUGCACAUCUUGACGGUACCUAAUCAGAAAGCCACGGCUAACUACGUG
RNAcentral lists this ribosomal RNA (497 nucleotides) under uncultured bacterium. Its description in RNAcentral is "partial 16S ribosomal RNA". It matches the Rfam family "Bacterial small subunit ribosomal RNA", at positions 28 to 507 of the family's 1533-position model. The record is from RNAcentral.